RNAcentral lists this long non-coding RNA (530 nucleotides) under Homo sapiens (human). RNAcentral's name for it is "non-protein coding lnc-ZRANB1-2:1". Lineage: Eukaryota; Metazoa; Chordata; Mammalia; Primates; Hominidae. The record is from RNAcentral.
GAUCCACUAGCCCAGGGCUUCUCAAGCUGGAAUGUGGACAUGAAUCACCAUGGAUCUGGUUACGUUGCAGAUUCUGACUCAGCAGGUCUGAGGCGGGGCCUGACAUUCUGCACGGCUGGCCUGCUCCGGGCGCUGCUGAUGCUGCUGGUUCCUGGACCACCCUUGAGACCCUGGAUGACCUCUGAGGUGCUGCCUCCUUGCAAAAACCCUCAGCUCUUGGGACCUCUCCCUGCGCUUCCGAAGCCCUUUCAGAUAUUUUCCUGUAGCCCUCACAAAGAGCUUGGGGUUGCGGUUUCUGCCGCUGUUGACUCUCACGUGGAGAUAAUGGAACAUCAUUUCAGAGUUUCGGAAAUGGGAGAGAAAUCUCCCAGCAGCCCAGCAGUUGAAGAGGAGCUGCCUCAAAUACCAGCCCAACGGGAGGCCUGUCUCUGGCUUUUAUGUUCAAGCUGGGACUCUUGGCCUCAGAAGCCUGCUUCUGGUCUUGAAAGUUGGUCCCUUCCCAGCAUUAUAGCAUUAAAAAAAUUUUUUUU